CAACCUACCUAUCAGAGGGGAAUAACCCGGCGUAAGUCGGACUAAUACCGCAUAAAACAGGGGCACCGCAUGGUGAUAUUUGUUAAAGAAAUUCGCUGAUAGAUGGGCAUGCGUUCCAUUAGGUAGUUGGUGAGGUAACGGCUCACCAAGCCGACGAUGGAUAGGGGAACUGAGAGGUUGGUCCCCCACACUGGUACUGAGACACGGACCAGACUCCUACGGGAGGCAGCAGUGAGGAAUAUUGGUCAAUGGGCGGGAGCCUGAACCAGCCAAGUCGCGUGAAGGAAGAAGGAUCUAUGGUUCGUAAACUUCUUUUGCAGGGGAAUAAAGUGCAGGACGUGUCCUGUUUCGUAUGUACCCUGAGAAUAAGGAUCGGCUAACUCCGUGCCAGCAGCCGCGGUAAUACGGAGGAUCCGAGCGUUAUCCGGAUUUAUUGGGUUUAAAGGGUGCGUAGGUGGUUUGAUAAGUCAGCGGUGAAAGUUUGCAGCUUAACUGUAAAAAUGCCGUUGAAACUGUCGGACUUGAGUGUAAAUGAGGUAGGCGGAAUGCGUGGUGUAGCGGUGAAAUGCAUAGAUAUCACGAAGAACUCCGAUUG
RNAcentral lists this ribosomal RNA (595 nucleotides) under uncultured Bacteroidota bacterium. RNAcentral describes it as "bacterial SSU rRNA". It matches the Rfam family "Bacterial small subunit ribosomal RNA", at positions 122 to 715 of the family's 1533-position model. Lineage: Bacteria; Pseudomonadati; Bacteroidota. The record is from RNAcentral.